Molecule: ribosomal RNA, 308 nt
Filed under: uncultured Planctomycetota bacterium
Lineage: Bacteria; Pseudomonadati; Planctomycetota
Description: bacterial SSU rRNA
Rfam family: Bacterial small subunit ribosomal RNA
Source: RNAcentral
AGUGAACGUUGGCGGCGUGGAUUAGGCAUGCAAGUCGCGCGGAAAGGCCCCGCAAGGGGCACUCGAGCGGCGAAAGGGAUAGUAACACGUGGGUAACCUACCCCAGGACCGGGAUAGCUGCGGGAAACUGCAGGUAAUACCGGAUAACGUCUCCGGACCAAAGGUGUGAUUCCGCCCGGGGAGGGGCCCGCGUCCUAUUAGCUAGUUGGUAGGGUAACGGCCUACCAAGGCAAAGAUGGGUAGGGGGUGUGAGAGCAUGACCCCCAUCACUGGGACUGAGACACUGCCCAGACACCUACGGGAGGCAG